This 254-nucleotide ribosomal RNA is filed under the name uncultured bacterium. RNAcentral's name for it is "partial 16S ribosomal RNA". It matches the Rfam family "Bacterial small subunit ribosomal RNA", at positions 524 to 776 of the family's 1533-position model. The record is from RNAcentral.
UUCGUAGGGGGCAAGCGUUGUUCGGAAUGACUGGGCGUAAAGGGUGCGUAGGCGGUGUAGCAAGUUAGAAGUGAAAUACCUAGAGCUUAACUCAGGUGCUGCUUCUAAAACUGCUAUACUUGAGUGCAGUAGAGGAAAGUGGAAUUCCUAGUGUAGCGGUGGAAUGCGUAGAUAUUAGGAGGAACAUCAGUGGCGAAGGCGACUUUCUGGACUGUAACUGACGCUGAGGCACGAAAGUGUGGGGAGCAAACAGG